AGUGAACGCUGGCGGUAGGCCUAACACAUGCAAGUCGAACGGCAGCACAGUAAGAGCUUGCUCUUACGGGUGGCGAGUGGCGGACGGGUGAGGAAUACAUCGGAAUCUACUUUUUCGUGGGGGAUAACGUAGGGAAACUUACGCUAAUACCGCAUACGACCUACGGGUGAAAGCAGGGGAUCUUCGGACCUUGCGCGAUUGAAUGAGCCGAUGUCGGAUUAGCUAGUUGGCGGGGUAAAGGCCCACCAAGGCGACGAUCCGUAGCUGGUCUGAGAGGAUGAUCAGCCACACUGGAACUGAGACACGGUCCAGAGUCCUACGGGAGGCAGCAGUGGGGAAUAUUGGACAAUGGGCGCAAGCCUGAUCCAGCGAUACCGCGUGGGUGAAGAAGGCCUUCGGGUUGUAAAGCCCUUUUGUUGGGAAAGAAAAGCAGCAGGUUAAUACCCCGCUGUUCUGACGGUACCCAAAGAAUAAGCACCGGCUAACUUCGUG
This 492-nucleotide ribosomal RNA is filed under the name uncultured bacterium. RNAcentral's name for it is "partial 16S ribosomal RNA". It matches the Rfam family "Bacterial small subunit ribosomal RNA", at positions 29 to 507 of the family's 1533-position model. The record is from RNAcentral.